This 76-nucleotide transfer RNA is filed under the name Bdellovibrionales bacterium RIFOXYD1_FULL_55_31. RNAcentral describes it as "tRNA-His". It matches the Rfam family "tRNA". Rfam says of the family: Transfer RNA (tRNA) molecules are approximately 80 nucleotides in length. Their secondary structure includes four short double-helical elements and three loops (D, anti-codon, and T loops). Lineage: Bacteria; Pseudomonadati; Bdellovibrionota; Bdellovibrionia; Bdellovibrionales. The record is from RNAcentral.
GUGGCCAUAGCUCAGUUGGUAGAGCGCAGGAUUGUGAUUCCUGAUGUCGCGGGUUCGAUCCCCGUUGGUCACCCCA